GCGAUACAGGGUGACAGCCCCGUACACAAAAAUGCACAUAUUGUGAGCUCGAUGAGUAGGGCGGGACACGUGGUAUCCUGUCUGAAUAUGGGGGGACCAUCCUCCAAGGCUAAAUACUCCUGACUGACCGAUAGUGAACCAGUACCGUGAGGGAAAGGCGAAAAGAACCCCGGCGAGGGGAGUGAAAAAGAACCUGAAACCGUGUACGUACAAGCAGUGGGAGCCUCUUAAUGGGGUGACUGCGUACCUUUUGUAUAAUGGGUCAGCGACUUAUAUUCUGUAGCAAGGUUAACCGAAUAGGGGAGCCGAAGGGAAACCGAGUCUUAACUGGGCGUUAAGUUGCAGGGUAUAGACCCGAAACCCGGUGAUCUAGCCAUGGGCAGGUUGAAGGUUGGGUAACACUAACUGGAGGACCGAACCGACUAAUGUUGAAAAAUUAGCGGAUGACUUGUGGCUGGGGGUGAAAGGCCAAUCAAACCGGGAGAUAGCUGGUUCUCCCCGAAAGCUAUUUAGGUAGCGCCUCGUGAAUUCAUCUCCGGGGGUAGAGCACUGUUUCGGCAAGGGGGUCAUCCCGACUUACCAACCCGAUGCAAACUGCGAAUACCGGAGAAUGUUAUCACGGGAGACACACGGCGGGUGCUAACGUCCGUCGUGAAGAGGGAAACAACCCAGACCGCCAGCUAAGGUCCCAAAGUCAUGGUUAAGUGGGAAACGAUGUGGGAAGGCCCAGACAGCCAGGAUGUUGGCUUAGAAGCAGCCAUCAUUUAAAGAAAGCGUAAUAGCUCACUGGUCGAGUCGGCCUGCGCGGAAGAUGUAACGGGGCUAAACCAUG
Molecule: ribosomal RNA, 832 nt
Filed under: Escherichia coli
Lineage: Bacteria; Pseudomonadati; Pseudomonadota; Gammaproteobacteria; Enterobacterales; Enterobacteriaceae
Description: partial 23S ribosomal RNA
Rfam family: Bacterial large subunit ribosomal RNA
Source: RNAcentral